GUUAAGCUAAUAGGCAUAAUUAUGUAAUACUCCAUCCGUCCCAAAAUAUGAAAUUUUAUAUAAUUAGUAUUUUCAUUGUUAUUUGAUGAUAAAACAUGAAUAAUACUUUAUGUGCGACUUAUCUUUUUAAAUUUUUUCAUAUUUUUUUCAAAUAAAACGGACGGUCAAAACUUGUACACGGAAAUGCAUAAAUAAACUUAUU
This is a microRNA precursor of Oryza sativa Japonica Group (Japanese rice), 202 nucleotides long. It matches the Rfam family "MIR812 microRNA precursor family". NCBI's taxonomy places the organism in Eukaryota, Viridiplantae, Streptophyta, Magnoliopsida, Poales, Poaceae. The record is from Rfam.